This 1382-nucleotide ribosomal RNA is filed under the name uncultured bacterium. RNAcentral's name for it is "bacterial SSU rRNA". It matches the Rfam family "Bacterial small subunit ribosomal RNA". The record is from RNAcentral.
GAAUUCGCCCUUAGAGUUUGAUCCUGGCUCAGGACGAACGCUGGCGGCGCGCCUAACACAUGCAAGUCGAACGGAGCUUAGAGAGCUUGCUUUUUAAGCUUAGUGGCGAACGGGUGAGUAACGCGUGAGUAACCUGCCCUAGAGUGGGGGACAACAGUUGGAAACGACUGCUAAUACCGCAUAAGCCCACGGUGCCGCAUGACACUGAGGGAAAAGGAUUUAUUCGCUUUAGGAUGGACUCGCGUCCAAUUAGCUAGUUGGUGAGGUAACGGCCCACCAAGGCGACGAUCGGUAGCCGGACUGAGAGGUUGAACGGCCACAUUGGGACUGAGACACGGCCCAGACUCCUACGGGAGGCAGCAGUGGGGAAUAUUGCACAAUGGGGGAAACCCUGAUGCAGCGACGCCGCGUGGAGGAAGAAGGUCUUCGGAUUGUAAACUCCUGUUGUUGAGGAAGAUAAUGACGGUACUCAACAAGGAAGUGACGGCUAACUACGUGCCAGCAGCCGCGGUAAAACGUAGGUCACAAGCGUUGUCCGGAAUUACUGGGUGUAAAGGGAGCGCAGGCGGGAAGACAAGUUGGAAGUGAAAUCUAUGGGCUCAACCCAUAAACUGCUUUCAAAACUGUUUUUCUUGAGUAGUGCAGAGGUAGGCGGAAUUCCCGGUGUAGCGGUGGAAUGCGUAGAUAUCGGGAGGAACACCAAUGGCGAAGGCGGCCUACUGGGCACCAACUGACGCUGAGGCUCGAAAGUGUGGGUAGCAAACAGGAUUAGAUACCCUGGUAGUCCACACCGUAAACGAUGAUUACUAGGUGUUGGAGGAUUGACCCCUUCAGUGCCGCAGUUAACACAAUAAGUAAUCCACCUGGGGAGUACGACCGCAAGGUUGAAACUCAAAGGAAUUGACGGGGGCCCGCACAAGCAGUGGAGUAUGUGGUUUAAUUCGACGCAACGCGAAGAACCUUACCAAGUCUUGACAUCCUGCGACGAUGCUGGAAACAGUAUUUUCCUUCGGGACGCAGAGACAGGUGGUGCAUGGUUGUCGUCAGCUCGUGUCGUGAGAUGUUGGGUUAAGUCCCGCAACGAGCGCAACCCUUACUGUCAGUUACUACGCAAGAGGACUCUGGCAGGACUGCCGUUGACAAAACGGAGGAAGGUGGGGAUGACGUCAAAUCAUCAUGCCCUUUAUGACUUGGGCUACACACGUACUACAAUGGCGUUAAACAAAGAGAAGCAAGACCGCGAGGUGGAGCAAAACUCAGAAACAACGUCCCAGUUCGGACUGCAGGCUGCAACUCGCCUGCACGAAGUCGGAAUUGCUAGUAAUCGUGGAUCAGCAUGCCACGGUGAAUACGUUCCCGGGCCUUGCACACACCGCCCGUCA